Long non-coding RNA from Numida meleagris (helmeted guineafowl), 5286 nucleotides. RefSeq lists it as uncharacterized. The record is from RefSeq and is a predicted model, not a curated record. Lineage: Eukaryota; Metazoa; Chordata; Aves; Galliformes; Numididae. The transcript has 5 exons.
CCAGUCCAAGCCAUGUGCUGCCAGCUUCUCCAGGAGAAUACUGUGGGAGACAGCAUCAAAGGCUUUGCUGAAGUCUAGGCAGACUAUGUUGGCAGUCUUUCUCUCAUCUGGGUCACCUGGUCAUAGAAGGAGAUGAGGUUGGUCAGUCAGGUCCCGCCUUUCAGGUAGCCAUCCCCCGGUUGUCAUGUACUUGCUACAUGAUCACAGUCAAGAUGACGUGCUCCAUAACUUUCCUUGAUACUGAGGUGGGGCCUAUAGUUCCCCAGAUCCCCCUUACAACCCUUGCUAUAGGUGGGCAUUACGUUAGCAAGUCUCCAGUCAUCUGAGACCUCUCCUGCUGACCAGGACCGCUGAUAGAUGGUGGAAAGCAGCUUGGCAAUCACAUACACCAGCUCCUUCAGCAUCCUUAGGUGGAUCCCAUCUGGCCCCAUGGACUUGUGACAGUCCAGGUGGAGUAGCAGGUGUCUAACUGUUUCUACCCAAGUCAUGGGAGGUUUAUUCUUCUUCCUACCCCAGAUUUCCCGGUCAGGAGGCAGAGUGCCUUGAGGAUAACUUUUCUGACUAAUAAAGACAGAUGUAAAGACGUCAUUGAGAACUUCAGCCUUUUCCUUAUCCUCAGCAGUCAUGUUCCCUGCUGCAUCCAGUAAAGGGUGAGGAUUCUUCUUGGUCCUCCUCUUACUGUUAACAUAUUUGUAAAAAAAAAGUUAUUUGUUGUCCUCUACUACAGUGGCCAGGUUGAGCUCAUACUGGUCUUCAGCCUUUCUGAUUUUCUUGUUGCAUAUCCUAGCAGUUUCUUAUAUUUUCCUUUAGCUGCCUGUCCCUUCUUCCACAGGAGGUAAACUCUUUUUCUCCUGAAAUCUCAGCAAAAUCUCCCUGUUCAGCCACACUGGUCUUCUUCCCCUUGGCUCAUCUUACAGCACAUGGGGACAGCUUGCUCCUGUGCCAUUUAUAUUGCUCACACUGCCAAGUAAACUUUACAUUUGUCGCUUAUUAGAGUGCCAAACUACACAUACACUUCCUUUUCUAUUACAAAUUUCUAUUUUAUCAGUAUUCUAAGUCGAGAGACUUAGAUGUCAGGAGCAUCACCAUUCAUAUAAUGCUAGCAGGUGUUCAUGUUUUUUACGUGGUCCAUGCAUGACAGUAAUUUAACAGAUGGCAGACUGUGCAACAAAGUGCAUGCUUCUCAUUUUGUUCAUAUAAUUUCUCUUCAGUAUUUGUCAAUUAUAGGGAUUUAUGAAAUUGAAGCAAUUUCAAUCAAGAUAUUUGAGGAGCUGAGUGGACUUAGUUAAACCUCAAAAUGUAAGGCAAAUGUGAAUUACUACUUUGUACUAUAUUCAGUAUUGCCACUUUUUUUUCUGAGAGUGGGUGAUGAAUCUAUUAGUAGUCUUGGUUGGUGUGCAAGGGUGCUGUGUGCACAGGAAAGACAACAUCCCAAUUUUUUUACAUAUACUGAAGUUUAAUGUUGUCUAAGAAUACACAAUUAUCUCAUGAGCUCACGCUGAAGGGAUUAUCAAAGAUAGUUUGUGAGUACGUUUUGAACUCCUCCUUCUAUAAUAUUCUUCUAUCACAAAGAUACAAGUAUGUUUUCUCAGGAGUGUUAAAAUGGAAUUUGUGUCUUUAAUACCAUUUGAACAAGCAAAUAAAACUCUCCCGUGACAGUAACCUGCCAUAUAGAUUUUUCAACGUCACUAAUCUUUGUGAAAUUUUAUGUUGUUCUAACAAGUGUGUCUCAUUUAUUAUCUAUUUCAUUGAGUAUCUCCUCUGGGCUUUCCAGAGACCAGUUGAAUUUUCAUAGGGAAUAUAAACUGAAUUGAUAUAUUCCACUUGAUUCUUGAAGUCUAAAGAACAAACAUUUAAGUAACUUUUCUGGGAUAUACGCACAUAGCCCACUAGUAGGUAUGUUAAACUGGAGCAAUGACAGUAAAGAUGGAAUCUGAAAAUAAUACGGUUGGCAAAAUGUAAUCAUCUUCCUCCCUUUUUUGGAGGUGAGGAGGGAUGGCCUUUGUAGACCCCCCAGCUUAAGUACUGGUGCAUUCUUAAGUAUAGAGCAAUAGAUAUUCCUUGUAGUGGAGAACUCUUUCUCUAGUUGCAGGACACCUAACCAAGGUACAAAAGCACUUAAGUGCAUCUUCAGAACUGUUGGGAUACAUAUAUUUUUAACUGCAAACAAAUCAAUAUAUGUUUUUCUAACUAUAUUUUAUGAAUGGAUUAAUGGCUCAUUAAAUGGAUAUACAGAUCUGUUGAGAGUAUCUGCCAGAAAUACUGUCAUGGAAACAUAACUGCAAAAUCUAUACCCAAAGUAGUAACUUUAAUAGUGGGGAUUUCAUUUGUUUUAGUCUGUUCACUGCAAACAAAUUCAAUUCCAAACAAUAGUGAAAAUAUGAACGUUUUCUAUUUAAACUGUGUACAACAUGGAGGAUAGCAGAUCAUUUGCAAAAUCAAAUCACAAGCAACAAAUUUAAAAAAACAAAAGCGUUUCUAGCUCUGACUCAGACAGAACUGAUGCUAAAUCUGUGACCUUUGAAGUCCACAAUUACUUACUGGAACCUGAAUUUUCACCCCUGAAUUUCUUUACCGAGCUUACUUAAGAACUUAUAUCAAUCCUUCAGCUAAAGGUCAUAGUGUUGUGCCAUGUUAUCUGGAUUUUUAUUAUUUUCUCAUAAACUAUGACAUUUAUAAAAUGUCAGCAUCUAAGGAAAUGAGGCCUAUAUGAAUGUGGAAGAAGGAUAAAAUCUGUUUACUCUGGCAAUUCCAUCAGCGUGGUUCAGAGUUAUAAAUGUUAUCACAAUGAAUAAUGCAGUGUUUUGUAUUGUUUACAGGUAUUAGCAAUUGUUUUUCUGGAUAGACAUGGAUGUUAGUAAACUUAGAAAUAAAAGCUAAGACAUAUCACGCUUUAUUUAGAUGGAUUGUGUCAUGUGCAGGGACAACAGAAAGGUCUUUCUUGUCAGAACCAAGAAUAAAUUUGAUUCUUCCAUUUUCCUUUUUCUUGAGCAACCUUAACACAAGCAGAUAGUGACAAGGGGGAAUGAUAUAAGAAUAAAAGAAGGGAGAUUUAGCUUAGAUGUUACGAGGAAAUUCUUGGAGGGUUGUGAGGCACUGGAACAGGCUGCCCAGAGAGCUGUGGCUGCCCCAUACCUGGAGGCUCCCAAGACAUGGUUGGAUGGUGUCCUGGGCAGCCUGAUUUGGUGGGGUCAGCCAGACACAGCAGGGGGUUGGAAGUAGGUGGUCUUUAAGUUCCCUUCCAACAUCAAGCUAUUCUCUGAUAAUACUAACCUGUGGUGGCACGUACUCGGGGAACUCAAUUUUGGCAACAGAGUUCAGAGAAAAGUAGAUCUGACGCUACUAGCUCUCACACCAGGCUUCAGCAAUGAAGGAAGCUCUGCACCUCUCCUUUUUCCAUAUUCUAACCAAAGCUGUGCCAGCUGUAGCCCUACUCAUUUCUUAGUGUCCCUCAUAGUAUUUAGAAUUAUGAAUGUUUUUUGUGCUCCUGUCCUUUUUUACGUCCUGAGCUCCUCCUGUUCUUUCUUUUUGCGUUACUUGCAGGUGGAUGGCACACAAAUGGCCAGAAACAAACAUACAGUAUAAAAGAAUGUUGAACAUAAUGAGAGAAAGAAAGGAAUGUGAAUCAGGGCUGGAAAAGACUGGGGUCCACCUCAAAAAAUGUCUGAAAUCUCAGAUUGCGUGUCAUUUGGAAGUCCACCUUAAAUAAACAGCUCCUACAGUAAAACCUUCAUGGCCUGACGAAGAAAGAAAUGAAUUAAUUUUCAGUUCUGGACCUCCCAUGCAUCAGUGCAGCCCCUUCAAUCUGUGUGAAAGAAGUCAGCGUAUCUGCCAUCUGUCAGCACCUUUUCAUCUGUGUCCCGUUCUUCCUCACGCUGAUUCACCUGUGAGCUGAAUACUCAUCAACACUGUCCUCCAGUGUUACAUGACUACAUCCUGCUGCAACAGCAGGAGCUUUUUCACAUUUGUCCAGUCUUUUAAAAAAUGCGAAUAAUUUUGAACAGAUCCCACACUUCAUGUUCCACUGAAAUAAUCGACUCUUCCUUUCAUUUUGCUUGAAAUUGCUGAACUAUGAUGAAAUCCAGAAACCCAUCUCAUUUUUAAGCACAAUAUCAUAGAAAGGCCUGAAAAAUUAGAUUGAAGAAAUAUGAAUGAACUGUCGUGGAGUAUAAGUUAUUUAAUGGAUGGAGAGACUUCAACGAAGUAAGGAAUAUGCCCUAUAACGUGGGAGUAAAGCAGCUUGAGUCACACUGUCUCCUUUACAUCCAUGUAUUACCUUUGCCAGAAGACGAGAAGAGAUGUAGAGGCCGUCAGUCCACGUCAAGUGCCACGCUAGAAGAAAAAAAGGAGGAAAAAAUACCAUUGCAUGUGAAUCCUUGUGGUAACUGAGGCACUCUUCUGCAAUGAGAGGAUUAACAUUGGUUCAUUUCACUGCUCAACUUGUUUUGAAGGAGAAAAAAGUCUUCCCUAGGAGACCAUGGAGAUAGUACCAAAACAGACAGAUAGAGGGACUCUCCUGCAUGCGUAGGCAAAGUAUAUAAUCAUCUUGUAUAAGACAUAUAUUUCUUUCCUCAAAAAUUAGUUGAGUCAAAAACCUUCGAUCAAUUAUAUGUUUUGCCAUUUAUAACUCAUAGAAUACUUUAUUAAUAUUACUUGCAUAAAGUUUACAUCAAUCGUGACCAUAAAGGAUAAACAUGUUUUUAUUAAAAUGUUGUCUUAAGUUUACCAAGGAUCUUGGUCUCUAUCUUGCAGGGACCUGCUUCUCGUACAUCUCAGCACACACCAGUGUUUCGUAUCACAGAUUUGUCGGCAUUGGAAGAUCUAAAGAUCAUCUAGUGCAACCCCUCUGCUAAAGCAGGUUCCCUAGAGUAGGUUGCAGAGGACCUCUAUCUUUUCUGUCUGCUUUCCUACUAGCACAGUAUGAUGUCCUUCAAAGAGAAACGCAAAGCUUUCUGUUUGUGCUUCCCCUUUUAGAUGACUUGAUCAUUUCAAGCUAGUUGAGAGUGGUUCCUUUUUUUUCCUCAUGAAAAUUUCUGAUCAUGAGGAAAAUAUACAAUAAAGUACUAUUCUGACCGCUGGCCAAGUCUAUAUGCAGUAAGAAUGAAUUUUACUUUAUGUUGCUUUUUCCACUGAAGGUAGCAUCCUUUUACUACCAUGUGUAUACUACCUCUCUCUUUAUUAAAAAAAAAUAACUGUGAUUGUUCAAAACUAUGUUUUAUUAUAUACAAUAAAGUUGCAUUGAUAUUCUGAAGUUCAAAAUCUGAUUCUGAAUCCAAGUAAACAUAG